GGAACAUCCAGAAUUUGAAGAGGUUGGAAAACAAAUUGCAGACAAGUGCAAAGGGUUGCCUUUAGCUCUAAAAGCACUUGCUGGUAUGUUACGUAGCAAAUCAGAGGUGGAUGAGUGGAGAGACAUUUUAAGAAGUGAAAUAUGGGAGCUUCCAAGUUGUUCGAAUGGUAUAUUACCAGCACUAAUGUUGAGCUACAAUGAUCUUUCUGCCCAUUUAAAGCAGUGUUUUGCUUAUUGUGCAAUAUAUCCCAAAGAUUAUCCAUUUAGGAAAGAACAAGUUAUUCAUCUAUGGAUUGCCAAUGGUCUCGUACCAGUGAAAGAUGAAAUAAAUCAAGA
Molecule: unclassified non-coding RNA, 336 nt
Filed under: Hevea brasiliensis (rubber tree)
Lineage: Eukaryota; Viridiplantae; Streptophyta; Magnoliopsida; Malpighiales; Euphorbiaceae
Source: RNAcentral